Molecule: unclassified non-coding RNA, 390 nt
Filed under: Orthocarpus barbatus
Lineage: Eukaryota; Viridiplantae; Streptophyta; Magnoliopsida; Lamiales; Orobanchaceae
Description: partial external transcribed spacer
Source: RNAcentral
GUGUUGGUGCGUUGGAUCCCUGCUCAGGCAGCGACAACGUCCCACGCAAGUCUCUUCAGUUGUUGGCCCGAGCAUGUCUCGUCCGUUGUCGGUUUCUUGUGCUGAAUACCUACUGGGAAGGCAUUCUUCAGUUGCGAAUGAUAAGAUUCCGCCUAGUGUCGCGUCCCUUGUGGAUGCGGUGUUGGGUGGACCUCAGAGCAURCUUCGUGUCCCUCGUCCCUGCACAUCUUUGUGCUCGGGUUGUUGGCCCAUGUUGCCGUGCGCGAUCUCUCGGAUAUGGAACAUUGUGCGGGCACGAGGUCUCGACCUCUAUCUUGCCCAAACAACAAGCGUUCUACGCUUCGUGCGAACGACUGCCGCAAACGUUUUGGACGGGCCCUUGUGGCUUGG